CACGAACCGUACAAACGUUAUUCGGAAUUACUGGGCUUAAAGGGUGCGUAGGCGGCCCGGUAAGUUGGGUGUGAAAUCCCUCGGCUCAACCGAGGAAUUGCGCUCAAUACUGCCGGGCUUGAGGGAGACAGAGGUGAGCGGAACUUAGGGUGGAGCGGUGAAAUGCGUUGAUAUCCUAAGGAACACCAGUGGCGAAAGCGGCUCACUGGGUCUCUUCUGACGCUGAGGCACGAAAGCUAGGGGAGCGAACGGGAUUAGAUACCCUCGUA
RNAcentral lists this ribosomal RNA (269 nucleotides) under uncultured prokaryote. RNAcentral's name for it is "partial 16S ribosomal RNA". It matches the Rfam family "Bacterial small subunit ribosomal RNA", at positions 524 to 792 of the family's 1533-position model. The record is from RNAcentral.